UUAAAAAAAUAAUAAAUUAACUCGAUAACUCAAAGCUAGUUAUUCUAAUUUAUCUAAAUUUAAAUUAUAUAUUUCAAUUAAAAAAUUAAAUUUCAAAUUGUGAAUGAAAAUUCAAAUAUCAAAAUCAAAAUAAAAAAUUUAAGUUUGAAAUCAAAAGUUAGAUUCAAUUUAAAAUUCAAAUUAAUUCAAACUUUAAAUUCAAAUUCAAAAUUAUAGUCUCUGGUGAGUUUAAAAUUUUAAUUUUAAUAUUAAAUCCAGAUUUAAAUUUAAAAAUUUAAAUUUUUAUUUUUAGGGACUAAAGUAAAAAACAUGCAAAGUUUAGAAGCCAAAAUUGACAUACAAAAAAAAGCUAAUUAGUAGGCACUGACAUGGCAAUUUCAUUAAUUUUAACAUCUCUUUUAAUGUUGGUACAUAAUCGCAACGAAAUCAAGAGGUUGAAAACUUAAUUGCCAAAACCAACCGUUCCUAGAGCAAGUGGCAAAAGGCUUGGUGGUUGGUACCCGAGACCCAAGUUCAAAUCCUAGUUGAUUCACAUUUCAAGCUAAAUUUAUUUCUAAAUGAAAUAAAUGAAGCGGGUAGCUACCUAUCUCUCAAAAAAAAAAGAAAAAAAAAAACUUAAUUGCAAAAAAAAAUAUUUUAGAGACCAAAGUUAAAAAUGGUGCAAA
RNAcentral lists this long non-coding RNA (665 nucleotides) under Ananas comosus (pineapple). RNAcentral describes it as "long non-coding RNA (ACOM_LNC017578)". Lineage: Eukaryota; Viridiplantae; Streptophyta; Magnoliopsida; Poales; Bromeliaceae. The record is from RNAcentral.